GCAAUUUGGGAGAUGAAGGGAUCUGAGGUAGGUGAGAGGGUGAACAAAAGAAAAGUGAUCGUGUUUGUGAAAAGAUCACAAAAAACCCCAUCAUUGUGAGUGAUAACUAAAAUACAUUAAAAAAUGAAAAAGAACAAGGUUUGCCAGGUCCCGGGGAGGUGGCAUGGAAAGUUGGUGUUUAACUGGUUUGGGGUGAUGGGAAUGUUCUAGAGUUGAUAGUGGUGAUGGUUGAGCAACAGCAUUUAAGCCCACUGAAACUGA
This 261-nucleotide long non-coding RNA is filed under the name Mus caroli (Ryukyu mouse). RNAcentral's name for it is "lncRNA (MGP_CAROLIEiJ_G0002330.1)". Lineage: Eukaryota; Metazoa; Chordata; Mammalia; Rodentia; Muridae. The record is from RNAcentral.